CGGAUGCUAACGCAAUGUG
RNAcentral lists this small RNA (19 nucleotides) under Arabidopsis thaliana (thale cress). RNAcentral's name for it is "Ath_wt_08768". The record is from RNAcentral. Lineage: Eukaryota; Viridiplantae; Streptophyta; Magnoliopsida; Brassicales; Brassicaceae.